UAGCUCAGUGGUAGAGUAUGUGCUUACCAUGCACUAGGCCCUGGGUUCCAUCCCUAG
Molecule: transfer RNA, 57 nt
Filed under: Heterocephalus glaber (naked mole-rat)
Lineage: Eukaryota; Metazoa; Chordata; Mammalia; Rodentia; Bathyergidae
Rfam family: tRNA
About the family: Transfer RNA (tRNA) molecules are approximately 80 nucleotides in length.
Source: Rfam by way of RNAcentral